AGCGAACGCUGGCGGCAGGCUUAACACAUGCAAGUCGAGCGGGCACUUUCGGGUGUCAGCGGCGGACGGGUGAGUAACGCGUGGGAACGUGCCCUCUGGUUCGGAAUAACUCAGGGAAACUUGAGCUAAUACCGGAUACGCCCUUUUGGGGAAAGGCUUGCUGCCGGAGGAUCGGCCCGCGUCUGAUUAGCUAGUUGGUGAGGUAACGGCUCGCCAAGGCGACGAUCAGUAGCUGGUCUGAGAGGAUGAUCAGCCACACUGGGACUGAGACACGGCCCAGACUCCUACGGGAGGCAGCAGUGGGGAAUAUUGGACAAUGGGCGCAAGCCUGAUCCAGCCAUGCCGCGUGAGUGAUCAAGGCCUUAGGGUUGUAAAGCUCUUUUAUCCGGGACGAUAAUGACGGUACCGGAGGAAUAAGCCCCGGCUAACUUCGUG
Molecule: ribosomal RNA, 435 nt
Filed under: uncultured bacterium
Lineage: Bacteria
Description: partial 16S ribosomal RNA
Rfam family: Bacterial small subunit ribosomal RNA
Source: RNAcentral